GAUGAACGCUGGCGGCGUGCUUAACACAUGCAAGUCGAACGAAGCAUUUUAAAUGAGACUUUCGGGUGGAUUUUAAAAUGACUGAGUGGCGGACGGGUGAGUAACGCGUGGGCAACCUGCCUUACACAGGGGGACAACAGUUAGAAAUGACUGCUAAUACCGCAUAAGCGCACGGGAACGCAUGUUUCUGUGUGAAAAACUCCGGUGGUGUAAGAUGGGCCCGCGUUGGAUUAGGUAGUUGGUGAGGUAACGGCUCACCAAGCCGACGAUCCAUAGCCGACCUGAGAGGGUGACCGGCCACAUUGGGACUGAGACACGGCCCAA
Molecule: ribosomal RNA, 324 nt
Filed under: uncultured bacterium
Lineage: Bacteria
Description: bacterial SSU rRNA
Rfam family: Bacterial small subunit ribosomal RNA
Source: RNAcentral